UUCUUUAUUCUUUAUUCUUUAUUCUUUAUUCUUUAUUCUUUAUUCUUUAUUCUUUAUUCUUUGCUAAGGGCACUCGCACCUUAGGCGCAUUAUACACAUUUGCCAUUCUUUAUAACAUUAACAAACGUUUCUCAAUUGUCAUUCUUUCUCAAUUGUCAUUCUUUCACAGGGUUACCUUUACCCUAGCCAACUAUGCCACUCGACUCGGUCUUGAGUCAAUUCAUAAUGAAUACAAGAUCCACUUUCCAAUUCAUGAUUCCUUUUUGUUCUUUGUUCUUUAAUCUCACGGCUAACCCGGGGGUUUCGCCACAUUAACUUGCUUCACAUUAAGUCCAUCAUCGCAGGAACUCACCAGCUAGGACCGUCCUUACGGGUCUACUCCAACCCGGAUGCCAAACUCCGGAGCGCAUCGCCCGAGGGGGAGCGACCGCCCUCGAGCACGGAACUCAUAGCAAGUAUGAUCAUAUCCUUAACUCAAAGGAUUUGUAGUUGAAUCAUGGCUUUACACUAACUUUAGUGUUCUUUACAUCACAUUAGUUGCUAACUCUAGCAAUCAUUGUUCUUUACACCCCACUUGUCAAUUACUCUAGUAAUUGUCAUUCUUGAUACCACACUUGUUCUUUUGUUGCCACACACUAACUCUAGUGUGCUUCAUGUCACAUUGGUUGCUAACUCUAGCCAUUAUCAUUGUUCUUUACACUUUGCUUGUUCUUUAUGCCACAUUACUUUACAUCGCCUUUAGCCAUUAUCAUUAUUCUUUACAUCACAUUGCUUUGCCUUGUCUCAAGCCAUUAUCAUUAGGUUCUCACAUUACAUCUCAUGCAUACACAUAGAUUAUUUAGAUUCUUAAUCAUUCUAAUAAGCACGUGUACUCACAUCAUGCAACAUUACAUUAUUAUCAUCACAUUGUUUUACAUUAUCUUUAGCCAUUAUCAUUAUUCUUUACAUCACAUUUAUUCUUUGUUGUCCCACACUAACUCUAGUGUCCACUUUACCAUUUCGAAUGCCACUCGAUCUAUGUUCAACAUGCAUAUAUUUUGUCAUCCAUUGGUAGUCAUUACUUAGCAUUUUAUGCAUUCGUUAACAUUUACUACAUGCAUUCUCGGUUAGUACAAAUCUCAUACUUUCAUUUGACAUCUAUUUAGCAUUUCUAUAAUAUGCACAUGUAAAUUAACAUCAACUCAUGCAUUCAUUUGGCAUCUAUCUUUAUCAUGCAUUCUUAAAUAGCAUACUUUAUCAUGCAUUCUCAAAUAGCAUACUUUAUCAUGCAUCAAUAGUAAACAUACUACACUUUGGCAUGGAAAGCGACCUAAUCGCUUCGGUGAGCACAACCCACCUCAAAACGCUUUCCGAUUGCUUGUCGACACUUGCAAUCGGCCUCCCGCGGCACCCGUAACCCGGUUUGGCCCGAACUCUUGCGCGACCACCCGAACGGCCACCAAUUCGCGAUCCGUCUGUUCGGGAGUUUAUUCCCCGACACCACGAUGCUCCCGAUCCAUUCUCAUGAUUUUUGGAGGCUUAUCCCGCGUGCUGCGGCUAUCUGUACCAAAACAGAUUGUUUCGUCAAUAACUUUGCGUACACUCGUCGGAUUGUCGAACCGAGCGCACCAACGCGUUCGUUAUACCCCCAAUUAGGUUUAUAGAGGGUCAAUUGAGAUCAAACUCAACUAUUUACAAAAACCCUCUUUAGGAGCCCUAAUAUGCAACUAUUGCAAAAUCCACCAUUUCAUCUCAUGAAUCAAGCAUAAACCAUCUAUUUAGCAUGCUAGGAUUCCAUUAAAAUCAUCUUUAGAGUAUAAGAACUUAACCCUAAAGAUCUACCAUUAGAGAGCAUAAGGCUUACCUCUCUAAGCUUGCUCCCAUGGCUCAAGGAAGGAGAUGAAGAUGAAGCUCCAUCUUCUUGGCCUCUUCUCCUUCAUCUUCUUCUUUUUCUUCUCUUUCUUUCUCUUCUUCUCCUUCUUUUCUUUCUAGAGAGAGAGAGGGAGAGGUUUUGGUGUGGGAGAGUGAGAGAAAUGAGAGAAAGAGAGAAAGGGUCCUCUCUAUACACUCUCAUAAGUGCCAUUUUGCACUUAAGCCCCUCCACAAUGCUUCCCUCGCAACAGCCCAAACUGGGCAUUUUCGGGCUUCGGGGACCGGUCCUUGCGAUGAGAGACCGGUCCCUGAGAGACCGGUCCUUGGCUGAGAGACCGGUCCCCGAAGGUCCAGAAAUCAGCCUUCAAGGACUUAGCCAAAUUUUCCGCUUUUUCAUCGUUUUAGCUCCGUUUUCGCUCGUUUUUGCUCGUUUGACCUCCGAUUCAUUUCAAAUCGAACCGAGACUCUCCAAACAUGUUUUCGAACAUAUUUUCAUCAUCUUUUCACCCACGCUAAUGCCGGAUUUAACUCACGGUUCAACAUAGCCUUUCGGCUCCGUUUUCGCGCCCUAUGCGCACCGAAGCACCCGAAUGCUCCCGAACUUCGCCGGGACGAUUCCAAUGGCUUUCUAAGCUAACUUACAUCGUAACUUCGUGAAUUUAGAAGUUCGGUAUAUUACAUUCUCCACCCCUUAAAAGAAUUUCGUCCGCGAAAUUCAAACACAACUCGAUUCAGCUCCUCGAGCAAUUGAGGGCACCAAUACACUUUCCACUUCGGAAUGGCUUUACACUCCUUGGAACUAUCCAAAAGGACUACCACGGAGUUCAUGAUACUAAAUGCAUCCAAAUUUGCAAGGCGCAUCUCACAAAGUGCAUUAGGGUAUCCAUCACUCUUGGUGGCGGCGCAAGUCGAAACUCAACGACUCCACGCGCUCCAAUACCACUUGUCACUUGGCAUACAAGAACUCUUCUUCGCAUUUACUUUCCCCUCAGGGAAUACACUCCGAUUCUAUCUCCAACAUUGCUUAAAAGCAACAUCACUAGUGCAUCGCUUCACCGCGAGUGCUUUAAUUCCGCACCGAUCUUUAGCUCUAACAUGAGCCACCUCGGCACAUCCCAAAUCCAAUCCUCAAACUCCACGUGGCUUCUCACAAGUUCAAGGUCUCACCACGAGCACUUCAUCUUCUGAUACCAUAUGCCACGGCCAACGUCUUAUUACUUUCGCAAAGAGCUCACAUGAACACGUUAUUUGUGAACUCAAAUCAAACUCCCCGAUAAGGCUAUUCGCCAAAUCACUUUCCUCGACUUUCCACAGGUGGGCCAAAGGCCACCCAUACUACGUAGGCCUACAGCCUAAACCCGUCUCAAUACUCGACGUCCCUCGCUCGCAAGCGUAGACCCAAUCAUCGUUGGGGCGAAAUUCUCACUGGGAAAUUCGCACACACUCCAACCAGGAGCAACUAAAAUCCCAAACCGUUACAGAUUCCCGGGUUGGGUCACACUCGCACUCUCAGUAUACUAUCAAUCGCACUAUACGCUCUAUAGCACAAUACGUACCACUAUCAGCUCCUUUGCACCUAGUGCGAGCCACCAGCCCCACGAGUGAUCCGUGGCACGCUUCACACCUAGCAAUGCUCAGGUGCUACUGCCAACACACUCAUCCGGCUGAACUAAAUCCGCACUCCACGAGUAACUAUACUCGAGCGCUAUAUGCGCCUCUAUAGCAUUCCAACUAUGUCAAGCAUCAGGCAACUUUGCCUAUGCACACCGGCCACACGAGCACGACUCACCCACCUCAAUUCGAGAUACUACUAGGCCAACGCGCCCGUAUUUGGCAGCCAAUCGCUCUACCGGAGCAACAUCUAGAACACUCAAACCAUUCGAGUGUCCACAAGUGUCAUGACACAACUCUUGCAAUCAAUUACAUACAUUGCUCUGCAAGUUGGUUCGUCAUUUCCACCUCUACUACAAGUCUCAUCAUUAGACCAUCACUAGCAACUCGCUAGUACCAUCCAGUUCUCUACCUGCACCGGCAGGUGCAACGCUCUCACCACAUAAGCGUGCCCGGGUACUUACAUUUAUCCGCGCACUUGGAUCCUACUAUGCUACUACAUAAAUAGUAGUAAUUAAUUACAUGCUCAAUGCAUGCAAUGCACCAACUUUACAUUAUGCAGAAACACAUGACUGCAUUAAUGGCUCAUACCUGCCAUGACGUUGUCAGCAGCAGGUUCCAUAUCCCGGACAUAGUUCACGAUAGGGAGAAUUCCCGUUCGUACUCUCUAACUGAGCGGUCUCCUUGCCGCAGCUUCCUGAACUUGUCCUGAAGCUUUCUCUUUUCACUGUCGGGGGAAGUCAGUAGAAGAUACCAAUCCCCGAAACUCAUCCCAUGCCAUGGAGGAAUACUAGGUGAUCGGUUCCGCCGAAUGCCUUUCCACCACGCCUUAGCCGACUGUUUCAAACAAUACACGACUAGGGGUACCCUGUCCAGCUCCAAGGUAGACAGCUCCUCGAAAAGCGUUUCCACAGAGUCAAUCCACGUAUCCACAAUCCACGAAUCGACAUUCUCUCCAUCGAAGAUAGGUGGAUCAAACUUUAUGAAGGUCAUGAGGGCUGCCAAAGCCCGCUCUUUCUCAUUCUUUUCCUUUCCUUCCUCUCUCUUUCUUUGUCCUCUAGAGAGAGAAAGAGAAGUGAGAGAGUGUGAGGGUGAGGAUGAGAAAAUAUCUCAUUCACCCAUCAUACUCAGCCUAUUCAUUGCAAAAUUGCAACUAAGUCUCUCAACUUUUAUUUCACAACACUGCCCAAACUGGGCAGACUUCGGGCUCUGAGACCGGUCUCCCCGACCAUGGGACCGGUUCCUGAGAGCUCUCCCCGCGGCAGCAGAGCUCGUGCGCAAUGCAACCGCUCUCCCCUGGUGAGACCGGUCUCUCGGGGACCGGUCUGUCCCCUUGGGACCGGUUCCCGAGAGCUGCGUUUCCAAGACUUAGCCAAAUCUUCAGUUCCCAGACUCCACACGCGCUCGGGGACCGGUCUCCCCGACUUGGGACCGGUCCCUGAGAGCUGAAAACCUGCAGCUUUGCAGAUUUUCAAUUCCAACGCUCUCGAAGACCUCUCCGAGGCACUUUUACUCAUUUUGACGUCCUCGGCCUCUCCGAAGCACACCCAUUUCAUACUUUGGUCACUUUGACUAAAGUUCGAUAUUUCGACCACCGAGUUUCGAUAUAUUACAUCUACAAUUUUUUUUUUGGAGUCUCUUAAUUCCCUCCCCUUGGUGCAUAGCAGCCUCUUGCGGCCGCUGCACCACAUCAGCUUGUUGCCUCACCACACCCACAAGCGUGGCCAACUGUUCGCGAAGUUCCAAGUCUCCGCGCGCCUCGGAUUGCUCAGGGACAUCACUUGUCCCACCCCGCGUCGAUCUAAACGAAGAUCGCCUACGCGGUGCCAUCGUUACCUAGAACAUGACAACUCAACUAACUCUCAACCUUCUAGGUCGAGUAUGAAACAAUUGACACCAACUCAAAUCGGGCGAAAGUCAUACAAGGGCAUCUAUUCUCAUCACUCGGUUUCAUGUUGUACGCGUCCAACAUGAACACCCUCGGUUGAGAAUAGACAACACCUUGGAUCUACCUCUAAUCUCCUUUUUAGAGGUUUACAACACAACCCAAUCCCUUAACCUUUCGCCAAAAGUCAUAAGUCCUCGUCUCUCACGAGCCUUAAUCUCCUAUGGUUUACUAUCCUAGGGUCUCCUAGGUUCAUCUAAACCACUUUUCCAUUCUCUACUUUAUGCUCUGAUACCAUCUUAUCUGUCACGCCCCGAGCCCGCCUCUUUGGUCGGAUUCGGGCACGCCAACAGACCGCCGAACGGACAGGGUUUCCCCUACACGCGGACAGAGUCUCCCCUGUACGUUCAAGGCGUCGCAAUCAAUACAAUUACAAGAGGUUCCAAACAGGAACAAUUUUCAACAACGAUUGCAUAAGGAAGGUAUCAAACAACAUAACACAUCCUAUAUUAUUACAAUCAUUCAUCUCAUCAUUUUACAUCGCAUUUUUCAUUACAUUGAUUCUCAACUUCCAAAUAUACAAUCGAUUUCUUUUCUUUUCUUUUCUUAUACCCCUAAGGAGCCGACUCAGGGUACUGCUAUCUGGUCUCUGUGGUAGGGCGCUAACUACGGAGCUACGCCCUUUCCUCGCGCCGCCGCGCCGCUCGCGUGUGAACCUGUACCCCCAAAAACAACAACACGGAGGUGAGACUAUUGUCCAUAGUCGUCAGUGGGUACAGCCACCCAAGGGAAGAGCUCAACCCACCAGGUCCAAAGGAGGCACUGCAACAUGUUAGUCCAACAGAUAUAUACAUAUAACAUCAUGCAAUACAUGUUCAUGCCUCACAAAUAUGCAAAUUAUGCAACUCUUAGUCAUUCUUUACCAUUAGCCUUUCUUUAGAAUAUGCAAUUCUUUAUCAUUAGCCAUUCUUUAUUCUUUAUUCUUUGCUAAGGGCACUCGCACCUUAGGCCCAUUAUACACAUUUGCCAUUCUUUAUAACAUUAACAAACGUUUCUCAAUUGUCAUUCUUACUCAAUUGUCAUUCUUUCACAGGGUUACCUUUACCCUAGCCAGCUAUGCCACUCGACUCGGUCUUGAGUCAAUUCAUAAUGAAUACAAGAUCCACUUUCCAAUCCAUGAUUCCUUUUUGUUCUUUGUUCUUUAAUCUCACGGCUAACCCGGGGGUUUCGCCACAUUAACUUGCUUCACAUUAAGUCCAUCAUCGCAGGAACUCACCAGCUAGGACCGUCCUUCGGGUUUACUCCAACCCGUGAUGCAAAACUCCGGAGCGCAUCGCCCGAGGGGGAGCGACCGCCCUCGAGCACGGAACUCAUAGCAAGUAUGAUCAUAUCCUUAACUCAAAGGAUUUGUAGUUGAAUCAUGGCUUUACACUAACUUUAGUGUUCUUUACAUCACAUUAGUUGCUAACUCUAGCAAUCAUUGUUCUUUACACCCAACUUGUCAAUUACUCUAGUAAUUGUCAUUCUUGAUACCACACUUGUUCUUUUGUUGCCUCACACUAACUCUAGUGUGCUUCAUGUCACAUUGGUUGCUAACUCUAGCCAUUAUCAUCGUUCUUUACACUUUGCUUGUUCUUUAUGCCACAUUACUUUACAUCGCCUCAAGCCAUUAUCAUUAUUCUUUACAUCACAUUGCUUUGCCUUGUCUCAAGCCAUUAUCAUUAGGUUCUCACAUUACAUCUCCUGCAUACACAUAGAUUAUUUAGAUUCUUAAUCAUUCUAAUAAGCACGUGUACUCACAUCAUGCAACAUUACAUUAUUAUCAUCACAUUGUUUUACAUUAUCUUUAGCCAUUAUCAUUAUUCUUUACAUCACAUUUAUUCUUUGUUGUGCCACACUAACUCUAGUGUCCACUUUACCAUUUCGAAUGCCACUCGAUCUAUGUUCAACAUGCAUAUAUUUUGUCAUCCAUUGGUAGUCAUUACUUAGCAUUUUAUGUAUUCGUUAACAUUUACUACAUGCAUUCUCGGUUAGUACAAAUCUCAUACUUUCAUUUGACAUCUAUUUAGCAUUUCUAUAAUAUGCACAUGUAAAUUAACAUCAACUCAUGCAUUCAUUUGGCAUCUAUCUUUAUCAUGCAUUCUUAAAUAGCAUACUUUAUCAUGCAUUCUCAAAUAGCAUAUUUUAUCAUGCAUCAAUAGUAAACAUACUACACUUUGGCAUGGAAAGCGACCUAAUCGCUUCGGUGAGCACAACCCACCUCAAAACGCUUUCUGAUUGCUUGUCGACACUUGCAAUCGGCCUCCCGCGGCACUCGUAGCCCGGUUUGGCCCGAACUCUUGCGCGACCACCCGAACGACCACCAAUUCGCGAUCCGUCUAUUCGGGAGUUUAUUCCCCGACACCACGAUGCUCCCGAUCCAUUCUCAUGAUUUUUGGAGGCUUAUCCCGCGUGCUGCGGCUAUCUGUACCAAAACAGAUUGUUUCGUCAAUAACUUCGCGUACACUCGUCGGAUUGUCGAACCGAGCGCACCAACGCGUUCGUUUGGUCCCCAAUUAGGUUUAUAGAGGGUCAAUUGAGAUCAAACCCAACUAUUUACAAAAACCCUCUUUAGGAGCCCUAAUAUGCAACUAUUGCAAAAUCCACCAUUUCAUCUCAUGAAUCAAGCAUAAACCAUCUAUUUAGCAUGCUAGGAUUCCAUUAAAAUCAUCUUUAGAGUAUAAGAACUUAACCCUAAAGAUCUACCAUUAGAGAGCAUAAGGCUUAC
This 8114-nucleotide long non-coding RNA is filed under the name Ananas comosus (pineapple). RNAcentral describes it as "long non-coding RNA (ACOM_LNC003287)". The record is from RNAcentral. Lineage: Eukaryota; Viridiplantae; Streptophyta; Magnoliopsida; Poales; Bromeliaceae.